UUUUGUUUUCACUGGGUUUCUGUUGUUCUGCCGGAAGGCUGCAGAAGGCAGUCACAGGAGUCCUGGUUGAAGGCUUGGGUGGCAGGAGGAUUGUAAGUGUGGAAUAUGGGGCCACCCAUGAUGGGGCAGCACCGAGGGGUUAUGGGGGAGGGACCCAGGGAGGGAGCAGGAGGGGUGGAACAUGCCUCUUCCCUGUCUGUUCCAUCCCAGGGUUUUGAUGGCUGAGGUGGAGGAAGGGGCAGCGGUAGAGCUCCAGGGACUUCCCCCUGACAUGCCAGAGGAACUGCUCAUGCUGUACUUUGAGAACCGCCGGCGCUCCGGUGGGGGGCCUGUGUUGAGCUGGCAGAGACUUGGCUGUGGGGGUAUCCUUACCUUUCGAGAGCCUGCAGGUGAGGGAGCUGGCUAAAGGGGGCAGCCUGGGAACCCUGAUACCCUAAUGACACUGACGUCCCACCCCUGCUCACAGAUGCCAAAAGGGUCUUGGCCCAGGCAGAGCACCGACUACAUGGUGCCAGACUGAGCCUGCACCCAGCUCCACCACGCGCCCCUGCACGUCUGCUUCUCCAAGGAUUACCACCUGGCACUGUGCCACUGCGCCUGGAGCAGCAUGUCCAGGCCCUGCUGAGUGCCAUGGGGCACCCAGUGCAGUCCUGCCAUGCCCUGGCCAGUCCCAGGCCUGAUCGGGCCCUGGUCCAGCUGGCCAUGCCCCUUUCUGAGGCAGGUGAGAGGCCUGAAUGGGGCUGAGGUGCUGGUUAGGGGAGGUACACCAAGCUGACUUGCACCCUUCCCACAGAAAUUCAUGUCCUGGAGGAACAGGCCCGGAAUACGGACCUGGAUGGGGCUAUGGUGUCAGUGACCUGGGUGCCUCAGGCCCGAGCUGUGCGUGUGGUGAGGGGCACACCCCCUUUGGACAUGCUGCUGCUAGAGUUGUACCUGGAGAAUGAGCGCCGCAGUGGUGGGGGGCCCCUGGAGGGCCUGCGCAGCCUGCCGAGACAGCUGGGCACUGUUGUCUCCUUCCAGCAGUGGCAGGGUGAGUGGGCUGGGCAGACACAUGGGACCCUUCCUCUUUCACAAAAACUUGAUAGGCUUUCUGUCUUCUUUCCUCCAAGUGGCUGAACGGGUGCUGCAGCAGGACCACUGGCUGCAGGGCUCAGAGCUGAAACUUGUCCCCCACUAUGACAUCUUGGAGCCUGAGGAGCUUGCUGAGGGCACCAAAGGAAAGGAUAACCCAUCCAUGCUGGGAUCUGAGCAUGCUCUCCUGGAGACUAGAGGGCUGGCAGAAACCCUGAAGUGUGCAGGGGCUGUGACUGUGGGUUCUGGGGAGGCACCAGGGCAAUUGGAAGCCUUUCUGAGGACAGGUCUUCAGGCUGUGCCAGUUGGCUUGGAUCCCGUGGGAUGUCCAGAGCAAGAGGGGCCUAUGGGAUCUCUGGAGCAGGAAGGGCCUGUGAGCUUGGGGACUGUGGGGUCUCCAGAGCAGGCUGGGCUCAUGAGUCUGGGGCCUAUGGGGUCUGCAGGCUCAGUGGGCCCAGUGGAGGUCUCUAUGGAGUUGCUGGGACAAGUGAAGCUCAAGGGCCAGAGACCCAUGGGGCUUCUGGCACAGGAGAGCCUGAUGGAAGUUGCCAGGGGCUCACCAGGUCAGGAGGGGCUGGUGGGUCCAGAAGAGAUUGCCCUGGAAUCUGCAGAGAAGGUUGGGGUGAAGAGCCCUGGGCAUAUGGGGCUUCAGGGUCAGGAGGGCCUGGUAGAGAUGGUGUUAUCGAUGGAGCCAGGAGCUAUGCGCUUCCUACAGCUUUAUCAUGAGGACCUUCUUGCCAGCCUGGGAGAUGUCGCUCUUUUCCCACUUGAAGGAAUGGAGGUGACUGGCUUUCGGGUGAGUGACCCAUAGAAAUUCCUCACUUUUGCCUCCUUUUCCCACUGGGGCUCUGGGUACCUUUCCUGUACCCUGAAUCUGCAUACUGUUCCUCUCUCAUGGUCCUGCAGCUCUGUGGAGCCCAGGCCUCAUGCCAGGUGGCCCAGGAGUUGCUGCAGAGUCUGCUGGGUAGCAUCAGCUGCCAUGUGCUGAGCCUGAAGCACCCAGGCAGUGCCAGGUUCCUGCUGGGUGUGGAGGGGCAGCACCUUUUGCAGGGUUUGGAGGCUCAGUUCCAGUGUGUCUUUGGGACAGAGCGUCUGGCCAGUGCCAACCUGGUCAUGGACCCUGAAGAGGUAGAGAUGAAGUUCUUCCCUAUCUCUCUCCUGUCUUACUCUCCAGCUCCAGGUACCCCCUCUCCCUUGCCCAAAGGCUAGUGACCCUGAUAUCCUUUCCCCACAGGUGGAUUCCACUGAGAUCCUUCAGGUCCUCCCUGGCCACAGCCAUACCUGGUGGCCCACAGAUAGUACAGGCAGUGACCAGGAGAACAUGAGCCUGGGUAGGGCUCCCUGGUAGGGGCCCCCAGCAUGUCCUGUGGUCCUUUUUUGACCCUGCUCUCUGCCUUGCUCUGAACUCUUACCUCUCUAGUGACCCUUCCCAGGCCCAUCCUCUACCCUCAAACUCACUCCAUCUUUCAUCCAUUCCAUCUCAUCCUGUUUUUCAAUACCAUCCUGGCUGGACCUGACUCAUGACCCAGUGUUCUCUCCCUACCCUCAGAGGAAGUCCGAGAGCUGCUGGCAACCAUGGAAGGCUUCGAUAGGGAGAACUGGUUGUCCCUGGAGCUGGGAGAGGAGGGACCUGAGGACCAGCCAGAAGAGGCAGCAACUUCAGGGAAGGAGGAUGAAGAACCCACACCUGGGGCUGGGGAGAAGCCUGUGAGCCUCAGCACUGGGGCAGCUGGGCAGCUAGAGGAGGAAGCUGCACUGCAACUGGCCCUCCAUCGGUCACUGGAGCCUCAAGACAAGGUUGCUGAGCAGGAGGAAGCUGCUGCACUAAGACAAGCCCUGGCCCUCUCCCUUUUGGAGCAACCCCUGUUGGAAGCAGAAGAGUCCCUGAAUGGAGGAACUGGUAGUGGGGCCCAGCUGGUGGUGCAUGCACCCUUUGAGCAGGAUAUAGAUGAGUUGGAACAAGCAUUAACAGCUGCCUUGGAGGUACACCUGAAUAAGGAGACUGUGAGACACCCAGGCCGUGUGCUGCCCACAGAGCUGUGUGCUCGCCUGGGGCAGUGCCAUGGUGUGAAUGUUGCCCUGCGUGGUGAUUGCACUGUCUUUUGUGGCUUUGGAGCCCAACCUGCCCGUGCGGCACGCCACUUCGCUGUGCUACUUGCUGGCCCCUGGGAUCAGAGUUUGGCCUUUCCCUUGGUGGCUUCAGACACUACUUGUGAGUCUGUGCUUUGGACUAGGAGAGGGCAGGUGGCUGACUAUUGGGCUAGUGUGUAAGCAUGGCCCUGAUGUCCUUUCUUUCUACAUAUCAGUGCUAGAACAGAGGCUGAAAAGGCCACUGGGAAAGCUGGAGGGCCUGGAAGAGAGCACCAAGGAAUUCCAAAAUGUGGUGAAGGCUUUCUAUGACACCCUGGAUACUGCCCACAGCAGAAUCCGCAUCAUACGGGUGAGUCUAUACUCUGUCUCACAGGUCUCGGUGAGACUUGCCUGCAUCAGAGUCUGCUGUCCAGGACCUGCUCAGCAGACAGGCUAGAGACUGAGGUAGGGACAGGAGAGCACUGGGGCCUGAGGGAGGCUCUCUGCAAGGAACUAUGUGAGAUGCUCUGUACACCUCAGUUUCCCUGCCUGGACUAUGGAAUGGUGAUGCUCUCUUGACCACUGUGAGAGCUACUUAUUCCCAUAAAUGAGUAACUUGUCCUGUUCUAGGGGCUCUUCUGUCUCCAACUGGGGCCAGGGCUCCCUGCAGUGUGGUGACCUCUUCUUGGCUUGUUUGUUUGUUUAUUGUGAGGCUAGGGAUCAAAGUCAGGGCCUCCAGCAUACUAGACAAGUGCUCUACCACUGACCUACAUCCUCAGCCCCUUUUCUUGUCUUCUAACUUACUAAAUUUGGCAACCCUGAAAAUGGACUUGUUUUCAAAAAAGGCUGGGAAAAAUUGGUGGGGAGUUAGAGUGAAGCCCCAGGAGCCACUACCUGUCCAGGAAGGUGAAGAAGAACCAAGAAGGAGGGACUAGAGAGACCAGAGAGGUUUACAGAAGACAUAGGUUGGGGCAGGGGUGCACAAGAUGAGUAGGAACCACAAUAUCUUCCCUGCCCAAAGGAAGGACUAAGGAGGGAGUGUUGGUCAGGAUGGUCUAUCAGGGAGUUAGUGUGGGGAGGGGGCAAAGAGUAAAUGGGGGAUGAGGGCAGGAACAACUCUGGAAAUAGGCUGGGUAAGAGGGAGAAGGAUAGAGAUAGAAGUAGAUAGAAGAAGUCCAGGGUUGAAGAAGUUUCUGAUCCAGAAAACAGUGUGCUCAUAACUGAGGGAUGAAUCCAAGAGAGGGCUGGCCAUAGACAGAUGAGAAGGACAGAGGAGAGCUUGAGUCACUGUGCUGGUAAGCCUGGGCAGAGAGUUCUCCCCUCUUGAUGCUCAGUUAUGGGUACAGCCAGCAGCAGCAGCCUCCACCUAGAGCUGGUCAUAAAUGCAGAACCUCUGGUCUUCCCCAAGGUUGGGGAAGUCACCUACAACCUGACCUACUUACCCACUUCCAUCACCAUUACCACCACCACCAUCACCACCACUACCAUCAUCCCACCACCACCACCACCAUCCCACUGGUGACAGUUACCACCAUCACUGUCACCACCAACAGCAUUCCACUAGUACAAUCACCACAAUCACCACUAUCCCACCACCACCACCAUCCUACCACUAUAGUUAUAAAAAAUAGAACCAUAGUAAGUAAAGUAAAUGAAAUCCUAUUAUUAAAACUACUGCAUGAAAGAAAGUGUUCUAAGCUUAUCUUGUGAUUUUUUACUUCAUUUUUUUUCUUGGUUGUGCUUGGCUGCUAGGGUACUUUGUGCCUCCUCAAUACCCUCUUUUUGGAGGAAGGGGUACCAGGGAUUGAACUCAGGGCACUCGACUCCUGUGCCACAUCCCCAGCCCUAUUUUGAAUUUUAUUUAGAGACAGGGUCUCACUGAGUUGCUUAGAGCCUCGCUUUUGCUGAGGCUGGCUUUAAACUUGUGAUCCUCCUGCCUCAGCCUUCAGAGCCGCUGGGAUUACAGGUGUGCACCUCCGAGUCUGGCUUGAUACCCUCUUGUGUGAAUUCUGUUCUUGAGUAAGGAGUAUCUCUGAGUGGGUAGUGAACAUUUUGACUUUUAAGUUUAAAAAUAACUUUUAUAAUUAGAAGUAUUUUACAAUUCUAAUUUGAGUUGAUAUAAACUUUCUAUGUUGUUAAAUGUUCUAACUUGUCUUUAUUUCUACAUUCUUCAUUAAUAAUUUUGCUGGGAUACACUGUUCAGGUUCAAAAGAUAUUUGCCCUCAGACUUUUGAAGACUUUGCUCUUUUUUAAAUUUUAAGAUUCUUUUACCCUACAAACUUAAAAACAUAAAUAUCUCCAUGGUUUCUUAGUAUCCAGCAUUGGUGAGAUACUCAAUGUGAGAUUUCUUCCCAUUUGUACAUUAACCUUGAUAGUGGGUGUGUGGGUGGGUGGGGUGUGGGUGUAUACAUUUGAUAAGUUUUCUUCACUUCAAGGGUAAGAUUUUCCUGUCAGGUGCCAGGAAUAUGUCCUUCACAUUGUCCUUCGUGGCAUUUCAUGGGUCCUCCCAUCUGGAGAUGUUACCUUUCUGCUCGUCUUCCAUUGUGUUCCCAGGAGCCCCCACUCUUGCCUGUUGUCUUUUCCUGGAGCUCCUGAGAGGCAGAACUUAGACCUCUUCCACUUGCCUCGCUCCCCGUGUGUUGUUUCCUUCUUUUCCUUUAGCUCUGCUCUCUGCAUCAAUUACUUAUUUCCAUGUAGAUCCUCUAGCUGGAUCUUUAGCUCUAACCAUUCCAUUAUCUGGCCCACCCACAGAAGUUAGCUCAGCAUUCUUGUUCUUGGCCUCCUUCUUCAUACUAGGGGAUCCAACCCAGGGCCUCCCACAUGCUAGGCCAGUGCUGUUCUACUGAGCUGCAUCUUCAGCCCAGCAAUCUCAUUCUUAAUGUAAGAACUAUUUCUUAUUUUUAGACUUUUUUUUUUUUAGCAUCUAGUCUUGUUUUAUGAAUGUAGUAUUGUUUUGAUUGCCUCUGAAGCAACUAAUUAGAGUUUCUUUAAAAGCUGUAUUUGGGUCCUUGAGUUUGUUACUUUAGGGCUUGGUCACUUCAGGCCUUCUCUCCUGCCUGGGUCUUCUAGAACUGAGAGGGCUGUGGCAUCUGAACGUUGGGAGUACUGCUGAGGGCAGUGUAGGCACCUGGCUAGGUUUUAUGCUCCAGAGGUCUGGCUGUGCGUCCUGCGUUCAGGUGAUCCUGUGGAGUUUGUCCACCUGCAGACCUCUCUGCAGGAGUUAGACCUCCCUGGAGGUGUCAGGCCUUCCUAGAAGUCCUGGGAUGCCACUUGCUCCCUAAUGGAGGUAGUUUAUGUCUGUGGCUGGACAGAGAAUGAGGGGGCUGCAAGGUCUCCCCCUAAAUUUUCCACCAAGGGGCUCCUGAUUGCUGACCUCAGCUUUUCCUGGGCCAACCCACAGGCAUAGGAAAUAACUGCAAGAAAUAACUGCAAAUAGCCUGGCUCUGACCAUCUCUCACCUGAUAGGUGGAGCGUGUGUCGCACCCGCUGCUGCAGCAGCAGUACCAGCUGCACCUGGAGCGCCUUGAGGAACGCUGCGUGCAGCGCCCUGUGGAGCGGGUCCUGUACCAUGGCACAUCGGCCUCCGCAGUGCCGGACAUCUGCGCGUUCGGUUUUAACCGCAGCUUCUGCGGCCGCAACGGUUAGGCCUAGGCUGGGCAGGGCUGGGGCUCCAUCAACCCCCAUCACUCUGACCUCUGCCGCUUCCGCCUUGCAGGUACGCUCUACGGGCAGGGUGUGUACUUCGCCAAGCGCGCCUCCCUAUCCGUGCAGGACCGCUACUCGCCUCCCAAUGCUGACGGCCACAAGGCGGUGUUUGUGGCACGGGUGCUGACGGGAGACUAUGCGCAGGGCCGCCGCGAUCUGCGGGCACCCCCUCUGCGGCCCUCUGGCCAUGUGCUCCUGCGCUACGACAGUGCUGUGGAUUGCCUCCAUCAGCCCAGCAUCUUUGUCAUCUUCCACGACACUCAGGCGCUGCCCACUCAUCUCAUCACCUGCGAGCACAUACCCCCGGCUUCCCUUGGGCUCUCGAGUCCCUCUCUGGCCACCUGACCCAAGGGGUUAGCCUGUGGCCUGCUGCUCUACAGGUUCCCCGUUCUACAAACCCCCCUUUCCUCCCUGGGGACGUUCCUGCUUCUUGUUGGGGAGCAGGAAUCCAGGCCGACCCGGAGGGCUGGGUCGGCCCAACCACCAGGGGUCAGCAAAGCCCAGCAGGAGGGUGCGCCGGCCUGACACGCCCGUCUUGGCUGGACCUCGUCUGAGCGCUUCUGUGUCUCUGAAUAAACGUGAAACCAGGCAGAACCUCCUGGCGUUCGGAAUCAGACCUCUGGAGAG
Molecule: long non-coding RNA, 7473 nt
Filed under: Marmota monax (woodchuck)
Lineage: Eukaryota; Metazoa; Chordata; Mammalia; Rodentia; Sciuridae
Source: RNAcentral